UAUCUUUUUCUUUCUUCCUCUUUCUUCUUCGUUUCUUCUCUGUUCUUAUUUCUUUUCUUCUCUGUUUCAUCCCCCGGUAGAGAUUUGAGAUCGUGAGAGUUAUGGAAGUAUCAAGGAGUGACUGUUACUAGUGAGGUUGAUAUUAAUUUGUUAUGAGAAAAAGAAGGAACGAAGUCUAGAGAGAAUCAGAAAGUUAGGGUUUCUGGAUUUGAAGUUUGAUUUGUAUAGAUUGAUGAUGAUGAUUUCGAGUUGAUAAUGGUUGAAUAUCGAAAUAGUUGGGGGUGUAUUGGUGAUAUGAAGUUGUCCUGAUGAAGAAUCAAAAAUUAAAAGGUAAUUUAGGGUUUUGUUAAUUUGAAUUGGUCUUGAGUAAAAUUGAUGAAUCUUAGAUGGGUUAGCUUGAAUUAAGUAGAACUGGUUGUGGGAAGUUUUAAUUAUGAUUUGAUUGUGAAAGUGAGAAAUCUCAUAUUAUGGUUCCUCAUGUUCUUCCCCAAUUUUGAAAUAAGUGUUCCUGGUUUUGAAUUGAAGUUUGUAUGGAGUAUUGUUCUUUUGGAUGGUUGAUAGUGGUGUUGGGAACUGGAAAAUGAUUGUGUUGUUAAACUGGAGUUGAGUGCUUUAAAAUAGGAUGUGUUUUGGUUUGAGUGAAUCUGUAAUUAGGAAUUAAGUUGAAGAAUGUUAUGGAAGCAGAGAAUAAUAGUUCAGAAAGAACUGUAGUUGCGCUGUGAUGGUUGUGGUUGUUUGUUAGUGUUGAAUGGGGUUUGCACUGGUGAAGUACAAACUCUGGAUUUGAGUUUAUGAAUGCAAACUUGGACUGCCAAGAGUGUUAAUCAUGUUACUCUGAACUAAAUUGGAUGCUAGUGCAAAAUGUUAUGAGUUGUGGUGGUGUUGUCGAGAUUGCAGGGGAUAUCAAUGGCUGUUGGAGGUUGGGUGUUGGUGUUGUAUAAGUAGUUGUUAUUGCAUAACUGGAGUUGGAGGUGGAAGUAGUAAUGAAGUUAUGAUUGGUCUGUGGUGUUAUGAUUUGUUGGGGGCUGAAAUGAUUGGAAUUGAGUCACGACUGGUGUUGAUGCUGAUGGUGGUGUGUAUCUGUUAUGCAAUUAUGACUUGAGCAGUAGUGUUUAACUCAGUGUGUUGAGAUGAGAUGUUUUGGGUACUGAACUAGAAUGGCAAUGGGAGAUGAAUUUGAGUUGCAAUUAGAGCAACAUAGGAGUUGGUUAUAAGUCUUAGAUUUUGUAUAUGCUGGUUAGAUGUGUAAGUUGAAGAAGAGUGUAAUGUUGUUAUGGAAGGGAUCUUAGUGGAAGCCUGCAAAUGCAAAUCAAGGUUCAGAGACAGACCAGUGUUGCGCAGCGAAAGCUUCGAGGAGUUGACUCCGUUAAUUAGUUAAAUAUUGCUAUGUUUAUUAUGUUGUAUAUUCUAUUUGUAAACCAAAUGACUAUUGUAUAUGUAUCACUUGAGAGUAGUUGUUGUAUAUAUAUUUCAGAGAGGGGAUAGUUUUUGGGUUAAGUUUUGUAGCAGAUUUCUUAUUGAAUGCUUAAGUAUAUGAUUUAGAUUCUUA
Papaver somniferum (opium poppy) is the source of this 1549-nucleotide long non-coding RNA. RefSeq lists it as uncharacterized. NCBI's taxonomy places the organism in Eukaryota, Viridiplantae, Streptophyta, Magnoliopsida, Ranunculales, Papaveraceae. The transcript has 2 exons. The record is from RefSeq and is a predicted model, not a curated record.